GAGGAGGAGAAGGAGGAGGAGGAAAAAAAGGAGGAGGAGGAAGAGGCCGAGCAGGAGCGCCUGCGCACGGGGGUAGCGAGAGCCGAGUUGCACUGACCGGCUUGGGCUGCAUGCGCCCCCGGCCACCCUGAUCUAGCGGCCCCGACCCGAGCUCGGGAUCGUCUGCCCUCGCCGCACCCCGAAGUCCCGGCCCCCCCGCGGGACGGGGUGGGGCGGGUGGCCCCGGCCCCCGAAGGAGUGAAAGGGGCGGGUGGAGAGCGCGCGCACCCUAGCCCCAGCCCCCGCCUCCGGGGAGGAGAGCCCGGGGAUGCGCCCCGGUGCCGCCGCGGGGCUCUGAGCGCGGGGGCCCGCCCGGGGUGCCCCGAGCCGAGAGGCCGCCGCCGCCCCCGCCCGCAGCCUCCGCGGCAGCCCCGCCACGCGCCCCGCUGCUUCCCCGGGCGGGAGCCGCGCCUGGACCGGGGAGCCGGGCCCCCGCCGCGCGCCCCCCAGAGCCGGCGGGAGGAGUGGAGGAGCAUCCCCAGCCCCCGGCGACGGCCGCCAAGAUGUCUGUGCCGGUGAGUACCGCGCCCGCCGCCGCCGCCGCCGCCGCCGCCCCCGCCGCCUUUGUGCCAGGCUCGCCAGAGGGGCGGAGCGGGGAGCUAGGGGACCCCAGGAGUCGGGCUGCCGGCGCGUGCCGCUCCCUGGGGACCUGGCAGCUGGCCUGGGAGGAGUGCGCGGGGCCCACCGGCGCGAGCCGGGGAGUGGGGCUGCACCACACCGGCCUCAUUCGUGCGCAGUGACUUUGGGGGGUGCUGCUGGGGGUGGGGGGAGCAGGGAGCGAUGUCCCUGGGCUUCUCACUCCUCCCGAGACGAUCGGAGCAGGAGGACUUCCCCCACUUCCUCUCCCAGUCAGGGCUUUGCUUUUUUGGCUCCCGAGACUGCAAGGAUGGAGAGGCGGGGAGGAAUCUCCGAGUCACCUAUUUUUGUGCCGUGGCUUGACAGCAAAAUGGACAGCUCAGAGAGCCGGGGAAAACUCUCCCGGCCUUGCCAGAUGGCUCUCCCUUCAAACUUUUCCUCCUGCUGGAUAAAAUCCCCCGGAAACUUUUGUUAAACUUCUCCGAACUCCUUAACAUUUUCCCCUGCUCUCUCGGGCCCUCCCUCCCUCCUUCCUCUGCUCUCCUCCUUCCAGCUGCACGGCCCCUUCUGGGUUUCCAGCUCUAGGCCGGGGUCUGGUUUGGCUAAUGUCUGGGGUGUCUGCCCAGUCGGUGCUGAUGGUGCCAGCCGCCCUGGGCCAUGAGCAACUCUCUCUUCCAAGGCUGGGCCCCAGCAGGGGAGCACUAGGGAGACACCAGCUCAGCAGGUUCUUGGUCUGAGCGCUUUCCCCCACUCUUGGCUUCUGUUUACUACAAUGAGUGAUUCUUCCCACCUUUGCCACCUGGGACCCAGGCUGAGUGAGCUGGGGGAGGGGGAGGGAGGUGCCUACUUCAGGAUGAUCUGGAAAGGAAAAUCUUGGCAAGGUGGGAACCUGUGCGAGAGUUAGAGCUUUAUGGUGGGGAGGUUGCUGGGGAAGGUUUUAAUCCCAGCCAAGGUUGAGGUUUUUAUUUCCCUCCUCCCCCAGGGGAGGAUUGGGGUGGGGAAGGAGUUUUCUCCAUGGAAAGAGAUGGACAUCAUCAGAGGCAGAUAUUGAAAAUGAAGCGUUUGGGGAAAAAGAAAUGAGGAGGAAAAAAAGAAACAAAUCAAGUGAAAAGUGAUUACAUCUAUUUCACAGUUCAAGGCAGAUCACCAAGGGACUUUAGUAUUGUGUUUCUUUCCACCAGCAGGUAGGAAACACAUUUCUCUGUUGGCCCAGGGCUCUUUGACUGACUCCUGUGACAAACUUGGCUUCUCUGGAGUCUUACUUAUGGAAAACCGAUGCUCAGUUUCCCUAAUCCAUGACCCUUUUUGUCCCCCUGCCUUGGGAACAUGGCUACUGUUAUUAGGCCUCAUCACCAGUUUGGGAAAUAAUUUCUGUCGCCAAGAUCCAAAUCCUGCCAUGUUAGAUUGUUUUUGUGUGGCUUCUUCCAGGGCUCAGGUCAUAGGACCUUAAAGAUACUGCUGUGGUGCCUUGGGCCAUGUUAUUAGUUGCCCUACGAGGCUUCCCAUUGCCAGAUAGCAUCCCGUUUUGCAGAUAGAUAAACUGAUAAGGUAAAUUCUCACAUUUGGAGGAGGGGUUGUCCUGUGUGUUAAAGUGGAAAGGACAUUGAAAUCUAGACCUAAAGCAUCCUUCCUUUGUGAUCUUGAACAAAAUCUCUUUACCUUAAUGGGGCCUCAGUUUCCUCAUCCUUACUUUCAUGGCUGAGCUCAGGUACUGCUACCUCCAGGAAGCUUUCCCUUUUCCCUCCAAUUGUAAUGCUUUCUCUUUCUUUUCUUUCUUCCUUCCCUUCUCUUUCUAUUCCUUCCUUCCUUCUUUCUUCCCCCCUCUCCUUUCCUUCCUUCCUUUCUUUUUUGUUGUAUAUUAUCCCAAGAGAAUGUAAGCCCCUUGAAGACGAGGAUUUAUUUUUCCUCUUCUCAGUAUCUAGCAAGAAAUAGGCUCUUAAUUAAAGUUUGUUGACGUCAAUCCAUGGAAUAGAGGGAAGAAGGAAAGAAAGAGAUAAGGAUUGACAAAGUCAUCUCGAAGGGUCCCUUUUCAGCUAUGAUGUCACAAAUUUGGGGAUUGCACAUCUUUAAUAUUUGAGUCCCUAGCCUCUCUUGUCCCAUAUUUAGUCAAGAAGCACAUGGAUCUCCAGUUUUACCAACUUAUUUCUGGGUCCUUGAUUUCCCCUUCUUGACCACUGUCCCCCACCCUCCUUCCCCAGCCAUUUUCUUAUUUUUUUACUAUGAAGCAAUCGUACUGUAUCUUCAUCACAGGGGGUAGAUUGAGUCUUAAUUAACUACUGUAAAGUGUUUGGAGAUUAUUGGAUGAAAGAUGCUAUGUAAGUACUGUGCCUUAUUAUUAUGGAAUUAGAGGCUGGCUCCCGCCCACAGUAGAAGCAGGGUAAUUCAGAGUUACAGAAGAAAAAAUUAGGGCUUUCAUUGGGUGUUGUGAUUCUCUUCCCCCUUGCUUAACAAUUCUGUUUAAAAGUGUUUCCAGCCUAAUUAUUAUAGAAUCAUCUAAUCUUUAAAACAGAAACAAACAAUUCUUGCCAAAUCCCAUCUCUCUGCCCUUUUCUUGAAGAAGCUGCCCAGGGUCCCAGUGUUUUCAUGCCCAGUUUGGGGGAACUUAGUUAAGUUAGGAAGAACACUGUUCUGCCCCGGGAAUAUCAGAAAUUCAGCUGUCAUAUUCCUGAGUGAGACACUGCUACUAUUCAAAGAGGUUUCCCUAUGCAGCAAGCGAGGAUAAAAGUUGCGUAAAAUUGCACUGUGCAUGACCCACUGCAGAAGAUUUAAAAGACAGGGACAUCAUUUUAAAAGAUCAUUUGGUUCAGCCAAUACUUAAGAGCCUAUUAAAGACUAGACACUAGGGCACCUGGUCAAGAGACAGGAGGACCUGAAUUCAAAUUCAGCUUCAGACACUUACUGGCUGGGAGAUCCUAGACAAGCCACUUCCCCUUGCUUGCCUCAGUUUCCUCAUCUGUCAAAUGAGCUGGAGAAGGAAAUGGCAAACCAUUCCAGUGUCUCUGCCAAGAAAACUCCAAAGGGGGUCAUCAAGAGUAGGACAUGACUGAAAUGACUGAACGACAACAUAAGUACCAGAAACUGGGGAUAUAAAGAAUAAAGAAAAAAUAAAGAGCAUUUAUUAAGCUCUUUAAUGUUAUCUUACUUGAUUCUUGCAACAAAUAAGUUAGAUAGGCGCUAGUAUUAUCUCCAUUUUACAGAUGAGAAAACUGAGGCUGAGACAAGCUAAGUGAUUUGCCUAGGGUCACACAGUGUUUGAGGCUAAUUUGCCACUCUGGUUCUUCUUGAUUUCCCAAGCCCAGCACAUUACAAAGAAAUCCUAGCAGUCCCUGUCCUCGAGGGGAUUUUAUUCUACUGAUAUAAACUAGAAAGCAGUUAAAGGCUGAGGGAGAGCUAAUCUGGGAGAAUUAGGAGAGCCUCUUGCAGUGGGCUGAGUCUCCAGCGGAGCCUUGGCCAGAGCCGGAGGUAGGAGCCGGGAAGAAUCGGUUGGAUCAUGUCUUGAUUGCCCCCCGGGUCCCUGAUUGUACUCAGGGGCAGAGUGCUGGGCAGGGAGGUGCUGGGCUUGGGACAGUGAGGAUGCUGUAUACUAAUCAGCUUGGUGAGUUCCCCAAGUGACCUCAUUUCCCCCCUCUGUGGGCACUGUUAUUGUUACCAGGUGGCUGGGCCUCCAUCUGGCUCGGCCUCCCUGUCACAUUUGGUGAGAUCAGCCUGUGAGCCUCCCUGGGAGCAGCCAAGGGGGUGGGGCAGAUGGGGGAUCGGGAGAAGGUGAAGGAGGGACACCCUGAUGGGCUGGCUGGCCAUCAUCUCAUCAGGCGCCCUUCCAUCAGCAACCAAAUGUGGACAAAACAGGGAAGCCCAUUUAACGGCUGACUUCUAAUUAGCUGGAAACCUUCUGGCAGAGACAGCUAAGCAUGGAUUUGUUUUGGGGUGGAAACGUGGCUAUUUUAUAAAUUUGUCUUCCGAGAAGCUUUAGUCCUCACAUCAGAGCAGCGAUAUCCUGGGCCCUCGGGCGAGAGCUGUGGGUGGGUGGUGGCGGGGGAGAGUUGGAGUGGGUUUUCCCCCCCUUCAUUUUUGGACUGGAAGAGAAAGUCUGAAAUUGCUUUCAUGUGCUGAGGGAUGGCCACAGGGAAGUUUCCAGGCAGAGCUGUCUCUCUCUUUUACUGCCUGAACACACUCAGCUCAAAAUAGCUGUGGAUCAUGUCUGUGCCCACGGCCACGUUUGGAUUUUCGGCUCAAGCAUUCAUUGCGGCUCUCGUUAUCCAAAAUAAUGCUGAGACAGGACAUUUAGCCCCAAAGAAACGACAAGAUGCUCUGGGAGCGGAAGCUAGCAAUGAGCUCCUCCGGAGGGAAGAGUAAGAGGAGGCGACGUUGGGUUCGCUUCUUUAUUGGUGGAUUUGGGGGAAUUUGGGUAGGGCCUGGGUUGAGUGACCGAUUGAAUGGUUGAUUUUCCCAGACAUCUAGGUGAAGAAAAAGAUGGCUCUGAAGGGUCACGUAGAGGCCUGCUGAAUUUUAGGCAGAAUUCCAGAAGGGUGGGCAGCGGGAUCCAUCUAUUGUGCUGAAGAGCUCAGGCAGCUGGGUCCUUUCACUCAGCCUCUCUCCCUUUACCUUGGGAGUGAAUUCAGUAGGGAGGAGGAACUUUGGUUCCUAGACAUUUUGUAGCUAGUCUCCCUACUGAUGCUUCCUACAGUGAUGUCCCUGGGGCUGGAAACGUGUUUGCAGAUAAGGUGGGAAGAAGCUUUGAAGACCUAUUGGAUUUGGACAGUGGAACCGUGGGGUUGAGGAGGGGAAGGUCUUCCCUCAGCAAAUAGAUGCAUCAUAAAGUCUCUCCUGCUCUGCAGAGGAUUCGGCAGAGCCCAGGGGACUCCACUUUGCUCUGGGCCUUGGUUUCCUAGUGUGAAUGUCUGGGUGGCACAGCAGAGCCUGCCUUGGCGUUUAUUAUCUACAUGACCUUGAAAAAGUCAUGACCUCUUAAAUUUAGUUUCCUCAUCUGUAAGAUGGGGCUAAAGAGAGAACCCAAGUAAUAGAGUUGUUAUAAAGAUCAAAGGUAUAAAGCAUUAAAAGAACCUUGAAAUACUUUAGAAUGUUAGUUACAUUUAGUUCUACCUUAUUUAACAUAUAUUGGAUUACAUGCCAUCUAGGGGAAGGGAUGAAGGGAAGGGGGAGGUAAUUGGAACACAAGGUUUUUCAAGGGUUGAAGAAAUUAUCCUUGCACAUGUUUUGAAAAUAAAAAACUUAAAUAAAAUUUUUUCUAAAAAAAAAAAAAGAAAUGUUAGUUAUUAUUAUUAUCAUAGUAUCUGAAACGGGCAGUUCAACCCCUUUCAGAGUAAAAGGGAAGAAUGGCAUUCUAUAGAGGCGACUUUGCUAUCGGGAUAGAGGCGCUCAGCAAAUAUGGCAUCUCAUUGGAAGCUAGUGUUUUCUUUGCUUCUCCCGUCCCCAUGGGUCAUUGUGCUGCAUCCUGGGAUGCUGAACUUUCCAAUGUGAGUCCAGCCUGCCCUUCCACCCUACCUCCCACCACUCUCCCACAUGCAUCUGUGCUCCAGCUGAGCUCCCUGUUUGUGGAACUCAUCUGACCCUUUCCUUCCCUUGCUCACGAAAUGUCUCUUCCUCUCUGCCCUCUCUUGUCACUCUUGAAUUCCAAGGAUGAGCUGCCAUCUCUUCCUUAAAAUUGUCCCUCAUCCUUCCCCACUGGAAGUAACCUUUCCUCACUCUGCAGAUCUCCCAGAAUUGAUUGAUCAUGCUUUUCUUUUAAACUUUUUAUUUUAACUUGGUGUCUCUAUCUCAUCCUUCUCUCUUAGAUAGGAAAGCUUCCUGAGGGAAAGGGGUGUGACAUAUUUUGUUUUUUGUAUAAUCUGAGAUGUACUGAGGUAUCAUGGAUAAAGAGGAACUGGGGUAUCACAGAGAGAAAGGUAUUGAGGUAUCACGGAUAGAGAGGUACUGGGGUAUCACAGAAGAGAGGAACUGGGAUAUCAUGGAUAGAGAGGUACUGGGGUAUCACAGAGAGAAAAGUACUGAGGUAUCAUGGGUAGAGAGGUACUGGGGUAUCACAGAGAGAGAGGUACUGGGGUAUCACAGAUAGAGAGGAACUGCAGUAUCACGGAUAGAGAAAUAUUGGGGUAUCACAUAGAGAAGCUCUGGGGUAUUAUGGAUAAAGAGCUCAUCAAACCAGGAAGGCCUGAGUUCCAGGGCUUCCUCUGACCCAUCCUGGCUGGGUGACUUCUGACAAGCCUCUUCCUGCUGCAGUCAAGUCUCCUACUUAGAGGCUGCCCCCCUGAAUCACUAAUGAAGUCACAGGCCCUUUUCCUACCUAUCUAGUUUGGAGUAGAAUUCCUGCACCCAACGGCUUAUUCAGUUGUUCACCUCACUCUUCGUGACAGGUCCAUCCUGGCAAAGAUGCUGGCGAGUCUGCUAUUUCCUUCUCCAGCUCCUUUAGCACAUGAGGAAACUGAGGCAAACAGAAUGAAGUAUCUUACCCAAGAUCACAAGCUAGGAAGUUGUCUGAGGCUGCAUUUGAACUCAGAUCUUCCCACUCCAAGCCCAAUUCACUGCGCCACCUAAUUCCCCUAUAGUUGGGGUUAGUAAAACUGAAUUAGUUAAAAAAAUUUUUUUUAUAAGUCUUGCUUCUCUGUACAUUUUCUUCUGUCCUUUUGGAAUAUCCAGGGAGAACGGGAAUAUUAGUAUCAUCAUGGCUGAAUCUCAGUUUCCCCUUAAUGACCCUAUAGCAGGUGUGACUGCUUCUAGCAAAUCCCUUUUUUUGAGGGGGGAGUUCUUAUUCUGACCUAGGGUGACGCUGGGGUCCCCGUGUAAAUUAGAGGCAGAGGGCCUCCAGAGUUACUCAUGUGAAUGCCCUGGCUGCUAAAAACUAGUGUAAUCUUAAUUAAGAGCUCGUGCUUUUUCAAGCACAGACAGGCUAAGGAGUGGCUACGACCAACCGAGGGAUGUGAGGGAGCCCGAGGGCUGGGGAUGGACGGAGAAGCAGGAUAUCAACCAUGUGUGUGUAUGGGAUGAUAGCACUGGCACCAGUGGGAUUUCAAUCAAGGAGACUUAGUAACUGAACAGGAUUAUAGGAGUUUGGGCUGUCUGAGAGAAGGGCUAACGUGGAAGAAAAGAGCGUAAAAAGUUGGGGGAGCCAUAUUGGACAUGAGGGAGGGGACUGUGAUUUUAUAGUUCUGGCUGUGCUGUGAAUUCACUUCAUCACCUUGAUUUUCCAUUUUUCCUCAUAGGUCUCAGUUUUUCCAUCUGUUCAAUGAGGGAGUUUGAAAUAAGAUCACAGAUCUUAGAGCUGAAAGGGGCUUCCUAUUUCAAAGGUAGUGGAUUCCAGAUUUUAGAAAUGGAAUCAUGAAGGGUCAGACACAUGGGAAGAACAAAAUCUCAACCAUUCCUAAGGUUUCCACCUUCCUAGAUGAAGCAUCCAUUACUCUCAGUCACACUCAGACAUCUUAGUCAAAUCAGGAAGACCCAAGUUCAAAUAUUAUCUCAGUUAGCUCAGUGUGACCUUAAUGUAUUCUGCCUCAGUUUCCUCAUCUGUAAAAAUAGGGAUAAUAAUAGUUAUGAGUAUCAAAUGGGUUGACAUAGGUGAAGAACUUUGCAGACCUCAGAGCACAAUAAUGUCUGCAUUCUAGCUGUCUUUUUUCUCAGUCACAGCCAGGUGUUGUUUUCUUAAUUUUUCUUCCAAUGAAACAUUUAUUUUAAUCUCCAUCUACUGGUUUGGCAAUACCGUGAAAGUUCUAAAAUUUUAAAUAGCACUACACUAAGUCUGAUGGGUUAAAACUCACAAUCAGGUAAACACACUCAACUGUGACAGCUCGAUGGCUCCACUGGCAUUCUGAAAAGAGGAAAAGAUAAAAGUAUCAGGUGCAUGGUCUGUUAUAAAACAGGCUUUUCCCUGGGCGGACAUAUCCCAGGAUUCAUUUAUUAUGUAGGAUAAACCAUUCAGAAUUGUUGCUUGGCUAAGAGGGUAUCUCCAGAGGGUCCCCGGCAGGGGCAACGGGCUCAUUUUGUUCCAGGGAGUGGAAACCAAAUAGAGCAGCAGCUGCUGGAAGUUCAGUUUCUGCCUUCUAUAAAGGAAGGCAUUGGGAGGAGUUUGGUACGCCACUGUCCAGCCCUCCAAUCAGAGGGGAAAGGAGAUGGUGAUAGUCAGAGGAGCUUGGAGGUGAUGAAAUAAUUUUGUUCUGUGGAGCUGAAACCAGGCAGAGCAGCAGAUAGAUACACCAUUCUCUCUAAUACGGUGAUCCUGGCUGCUUUGGUCUCUCACAAACAAAACGCUCCAUCUCUGGGCAUUUUCUCUGGGUCUUCCUCAUGCCUGGAGUGUUCUAUCUCCUCAUCCUCUGCCUCCUGGCUUCCUUCAGAUCCCAACUAAAAUCCUGUCUUCUGCCAGAAAGCCUUUUCCAACCACUUCUAAUUCUAUUUUCUUCCCUCCAUUAAUUUCCCACUUAUCUAGUAUAUAGUUUGUUUGUGGGUAAUUUUUGCUUAUAAUUUCCUACUUUAGAUUGUGAGCUUUUUGUGACUCUGUGUGUUUGUGUGUGUGUGUGUGUGUGUGUGUGUGUGUGUGUGUGUGUGUAUCUGCAUAUAUAUAUAUCCCCAUUGCUUAGCAUGGUGCCUGAUAAGCACUUAAUAAAUUUUCAUUGACUAACUGCUGUCCCUAUGUCAAAGGGAAUUUUAUUUGCAUAAUUUGAAAUUGCUUUCCAGAAUGAUUAUACCGAUGGUUUGAGGCAUUUUUAAAAUGAUUAUUCAUAGUUUGCCAUUUAAAAUUUGUUAAAAUUUUUUUCUUAAUUACACAUGAUGAUAAUUUUUACUAUUCAUUCAAACAUUUUUAAAAGUUUUUUUUCUCUCUUCUUCUUUUCCUUCCUUUUCCACCCCAAAACAGUAAGUAAUCUAUAUUAAAUUAAUAUAGAUUAUACAUGUUACAGUAUUUUUUUGAGAGCAGCUCAUAUCCUUUGACCACUUAUCUAUUGGUGAGAAAUGGCUUUUGGUGUAAGGUUUCUAUUAACUGCCUUUAUAUUUUGGAAAUCAAACUCUUUGUUAAAGAUAUUUGAUAUAAAGGUUUUUUUUUUUCCAUAGUCGGUCUAGACUCCCCCUUUUCUCCCACGUGUUAAUUUUGUUUGCGAACAAGCUUUUCAGGUUUAUCUCAUCAGCUAAGGAAGCUUUCAUAACUGACUGUGGUGGUUUAUUAUGGUAUUAUGGCAUGCUGUUAGUGAUGGGAGCUGGCAGGAGCUGGGGGUGGGUGUGGGUGUGGGGGGGUGUCCGAGGGAUAAGCCAGAUGCCAGUACCAUAUAGGUACAGGAUUGUUUGCUGUACCAGUGCUUCUGUUUGGCAUCCAAAAUCCUUAGUCAGACUUAAAUAUUUCUGCCUUUCUUGCUCUCUAAGAUCCAGUUUUCCUGGAUUUCUUAUUAUUUCUCUGUCUCCUGAGCACUUCGAUUGGCUGUUCCAGAUGCAUGGAAUGUGUCCCAUCCUUCCGAUUCCCUGCUUUUCUUCAAAGCUCAGCUCAGAAGUCAUUCCCUAUAGGGAAAUGGAAAAAGGAAAAGCCUUUCCCCACUAGGGCUUCCUCACCAAAUUACCUUGUGUUUAUUUUGUAUAUAGUGUGUCAGUACUUUUAUGUGAUCCCCUCUAGAAUGUAAGCUCCUUGAGGGUAGGGAUGAUUUCAUUUUGUCUUGGUCUCUCUAGUUGCCCAAGAAAUACCAUCCCUUCUCUCUUAAACCUAUUGCAAUCCUAUGCUCUCUUCAAAACUUAGUUGGAAUUCUUUCUCUUCCAGGAAAUCUUCCUCUUUUCUCAGUUCUCCCUUUUUAAAACUCUGAGGGUCCCUGAUUUCUACCCCAUGGUCCCAUAGAUUCAGCAAGGGCCAUAUUUUACAUCCCUUGUCCUCCCCAUAGCUUGGACCAGUUUUUGGAGAAUCUGAACUGGAAGAGAUCUUUGUAGAAGCUGUCUGGUCCAAACUGCACAAGAAUACCUGUUCAGAAGGUGCUUCCUUAUAAUUCCUACCCACUGCUUCUAGAUCACCCUCUUGGGGUCCCAAAGAAUCAGCCUCAUUCUUCUUCUGUUUAACCAAAAACAGUAAGAAAAUAUAUUUCUCCAGCUUAAUACCCUUUCCAUACUUUUCUCUUUAGGAAAGGACGCAGAAAGCUAAGAACAAACAAUAACAACAACAAACCAAAAUCUAAAUGAAUUAAGUGCAGAAAUCUUGUUCUUUUCCCCAACUCUUGAAGUGAUUAUCCUUGUGGCCCAGCUCCAGACAAGACCUUCUUCUUGAUUAUAAGAAGGCUUCUCAAUCCCUUGGGGGAUUGGUAUAGGAAAGACCUAAAUAGUUCUUGACACCCCUCCCCCCCAACCAAAAAGCUAUAUUUUAACUUUUUUGAUCCUUUCUUAUUUCAGGAUUCUUUUAAAUGUUGCUUCAGAUUGUCUUGGAGUAGAGAGAUGUUUUGGAGUAUCAGUAUAGCUUCUGCCAGUUUUGACAUUUCUCUUUUUAGGCUAGAAAUGCUUGGAUUUAAGAUGUUAAAUAGUUUUAAAAAAUCAUUUCUGGCAGACUUGGGCCUACCACACAAAGUGGUCAUAUAUAUAUAUUUUUUUUUGACACCAUCCUGGCGAGUCUUUAUCUUUCACAUCUCCUCCUCUGGACAAUCUUGAUUUAGUCAACAUCCCUUUAAAGGGGGUGUCCAGAACUGAGUCCAGGACUCCAGAUAUGGACCAACACAAGUGUGCCAGCCAAAGCUAAUAGCAUUCUGUGGUUGUUUGAACCCACCGGGGACCUGUUUCAGAAGUUCACAUUGCCCCCUCCUCCCUUCUCAGCUCUUCAGUGGUAGCUUCCUUCUCAAUGAAUCACCCUCCCACUGUCUCCCAUCCCUGAAAAUUUGGAUUAAGCUUUAUCAGGUUUGAGAGGCUUUUCUUUGCUGCUAUUUUCCCUUUAUUAUUUAUUCAAUGUGUCAAGGUGAAAUAGGUUGCUUAUUAAAGCUUCUCUGGGUUGGCGUAUUUAUCUCUGCCCAGCCUAUUCACUCCACCCAGAAGUGGGAUGUGGCAAGUCCUUUGAUAAAAGGGUUGAGACUUGGACUCUGGUCAUCAGAUAAAUUUUAUUCCCAGUUCGUCACUGGGAGGAGCAUCUGUUUCCUCUUACGGACAUCCUCUUUGGCCCAACAUAUGCCCCUGGCAUCAGUCCCACAAAAGGCUAACACGGUAUCUUCUCUUUUUGCUUUGAAUAGACCAGGGUAUCUUCUCUCUGUUGAUAAUUUAGCCUGUUCAUAUUUUGCUCCAGCUUAAUUGUUUACAUGUUCUCUACCCUAUUAGGACAGUGAGUUUCUUGAAAUCGGGGACUUUUUUUUGUUUGUUGUUGACUUUAUUAUUAAUUUUUUUUUUUUUUUUUGCCUUUCUUUGCAUCCCCAGCUUUAGCAUAGUGUCUAGCCUCAGUGAAUACUUAUUGACUUUUGGGGCAUUAGUAACAAUAGGGGAGGAAAGAGUCUAUUCAUAGUUCCACCUAGUCAUCCCUUUAUUAACAUAUGUUGGUAGUCCAGGACUUCCCUUUCCAUUCCUGCUUUCUUAUUUCCUUAGACCUUGCCACUGCUGAUCCAUGGCUAAAACCAGUGUAGUAGUAGUAGUAGUAAUAAUAACAACAACAAUAAUAAUAAUAAUAAACAACUGGCAGUCAUAUUGUGCUUUCCAGUUAGCAAAAUAAAAGUGCGAAAUGUUCCAUGCCUUACUCCAUUGCUCCGCUUGUGCCCAGCACGGCCCCUCAUGCAGGCAGGGACUUGGGGACAAUCACCACUAUUCUUUUGAGCUAAAGCUCUGGCUGGGAUCCUGUAUGUGGGUUUGAGGCACCUUGACCCAGCUUCCCUUCCUACAAAGGCUCCUGUUGUUUGGACCCUGCAGAAGAAUUGGGAUCUUAAUCCUAGGUGGAAUUCAGCUAGUGUGUGGGAUUAGUGGCUGAUUAUUCUCCCUCAAUAGAAGCAGGAACUUCCAGGACCUUUCUAGGGAUUUUCUGAAACCCCAGAGCAGCAACUAUCUAAAUAAAAUCACUAAAACUUAAUGACCCUUUUGAUAAAUAUAAACAAAAAAAAAAAAAAAAAGGAAGCCGGAAGAAAAUGAUAGAUACUUAUUUCAUCAAGGAUUUGUGAGUUCAGUUCUUCUAGUCUUAGUAAUAGAUAAUCUAGUAAAUCAAACCAGUUUUCUGAGGGUGAACUUGUCCAAACUGAACUGAGCUGGUCCUCCAAAGGUCCUUCGCUGGGCCUGUUCUGGAAGUUUUUCUCAUCUUGGCUCCUUAGCUUGCAAAUUGCUGCAGUCAUCUCAACAUUGCAGCUGGACAACAGAAUGAGAAAGAUUUCAGUAGAGAAAUAAAAUCAUAGUCUUAAUAAUAUCCUUACUAUUUAUCCCUUUCUAAAUGGCCUUUUUGUUCACUUACUUAUACUUUACUAUCUCUUUGUGUAGAUCUGGACAUGUUAGUUCUCUGCUAGGCUUCCAAUUGCCUGUCAAAUAAAACCAGUCCUCCUUUGCCAAGUAUUAAUACCAAUAUUUAACAAUAAAUUGAUACUCUGUCCUUCUUAGAUUUAUUUCCUAUUACUUAGACUCAGAGUAUUUGAUGGGACUUCAAAGACCACCUAGCUUCAGCUCAUAUCUGAACAAGAAUCCUCUUUAAACAUUUCUGACAAGUGAGUGUUCUCGUAUCCCAGUAUUUGUCCCCAAUUGGGACAAAUUGUAGAUCUGUUACUUCCCUCGUUCUGUAGAGUAAGCCUUUUAAAAAUCCAGCCUAAAAUCAUAUGAAAGUUUUUUUGCUUAAUAUUUUUCUUUUAUUUUUGAAUUCUUUAUAUCUUAG
Sarcophilus harrisii (Tasmanian devil) is the source of this 13402-nucleotide long non-coding RNA. NCBI's taxonomy places the organism in Eukaryota, Metazoa, Chordata, Mammalia, Dasyuromorphia, Dasyuridae. The record is from Ensembl.